Molecule: small RNA, 1659 nt
Filed under: Theobroma cacao (cacao)
Lineage: Eukaryota; Viridiplantae; Streptophyta; Magnoliopsida; Malvales; Malvaceae
Description: sRNA Tc01v2_g027820
Source: RNAcentral
UUCCCUCUCAUCAAAUACAGUUUUAUAUGCACAUAUAGUUAUACAUAAAUAGCCUCUGGUGGAGACCUGUAGUGGAAGUAGAAAAGUUCGCUGGAAGAAAAAUCGUGAACCGACCUUGAGCGGGUCAAAUCCAAAAAUCCAGAUACCUGCCUGCUUUCUUCCAAGUUGUUGCUUCUCGAAACGAAGCCAUGAACGAAGAGCUACAGACCUUCACAGAAGUCAUGCAUCUUGUGAGUGCUUUGGCAUUGCCUAGGCCGAUGCAAGCCGCCAUGGAUCUUGGCAUUUCCGAUGUCCUUGCUCAAGCGGGUCGAGGCCUCUCAUCUCUAGCUAUUGCUUCCCGCUUGGGGAUACGCGAACCUAACUCGUUGAAAAUGCUGGACCGCCUCGUCACCCUCCUUGCUUGCCAUGACGUGUUUACUUGCUCUGAGGACUGCUAUAGUUUGACGCCUGCGGCUAACUACUUUGCUCGCAAUGAAGAUGGAGUUUUUUUGGCACCUUUGAUGCGCUUAAAUAAUGACAGGGUUUUCCUUGAAAGCUGGUCUGGAGUGAAGGAUGCAAUUCUUGAAGGGGGAAAUCCCUUUAACAGGGCUCAUGGGACGAACCACGUGUUUGAGUAUCUUGGCAAGGAUGGCAGGUUCAGUCAAGUUUACAACACAGCUAUGUUCAACCGCACAACCAUAGUUGUAAAGCAGAUCCUUGAGUCGUAUGAGGGCUUAAGAACAUCAAGACAUUGAUCGACGUUGGUGGUGGGAUCGGCGUGGCUCUUAACGUAAUCAUUUCCAAGUAUCCCUCUAUCAAGGGCGUCAAUUUUGACUUGCCCUAUGUUAUUCAAAAUGCCCCUCCUUUUCCUGACAGGAGUAACACCUAAUAUGUGUUGGAGAGAUGUUUGAAACAUUUUGCUGGAGAUAUGUUUGAAAGCAUCCCAAAAGGAGACGCCAUUUUUAUGAAGGGCAUACUUCGUGAUUGGGGUGAUGAUCAGUGGUUAAAGUUGUUGAAGAAUUGCUAUAAUGCUCUUCCAAAAAAUGGAAAGGUUAUGGUUGUGGAGCAACUUCUUCCCAUUUCUAGCGACCUUGCCUACUCAAUGCAAGAGAAACACUUAAAUGAUGUUCUCGCAUUGACUCUGACCCCAGGAGGAAAGGAGCGGAAUCAAUAUGGAAUUCUCUUACUUAGGAUUGAAAGCUGGAUUCCGUGAUGUUCUCUUUCCAUGUGUUUAUUGUCAGUAUGUGGUGAUCGAGUUCAUCAAGUAGCUUGGCACUAAGGUUUUGGUCAAUGAGUUGGGACUUCCUUAAGUAGAUGGUAUUACUAUAUCUGCUUUCGUUGAGGGAAUUUAUUCAAUGUAAGCCGACUUUUCUGCUAGUUCAGAUGCUUUAUUCACGAUCAUUAGACUGUUAAACUUCUAAGCAAUCUAUAUCCUAAAUAGCCUGUCAAUUUGAUGACACUUGUCAUUUGAGUUGGAUGCCGUGAUCUUAAAUAGAAUUUACACAAUUCAUACGUGUGGGUGAGACUUAGGAUUCUGGUGUCAAGUCCUUAUAUUAGUAUGCUUCUACUUUCGAGUUUCACGUCAUUUAAUUUCUUGAUCUGACUUCGAUGAAUUGUGCACCAAGUUGAUCUUCCCUGGAAGAAGUGACCCACUCUGCCCUAAUGAGGAAUGAGGACCAA